Molecule: microRNA precursor, 63 nt
Filed under: Monopterus albus (swamp eel)
Lineage: Eukaryota; Metazoa; Chordata; Actinopteri; Synbranchiformes; Synbranchidae
Description: Mal-Mir-10-P1c2b-v1_pre stem-loop
Rfam family: mir-10 microRNA precursor family
About the family: In this case the mature sequence comes from the 5' arm of the precursor. The extents of the hairpin precursors are not generally known and are estimated based on hairpin prediction.
Source: RNAcentral
CACCCUGUAGAUCCGAAUUUGUGUAAAUACAACGGCAGCCACAAGUUCGCAUCUUGGGGAGUU